Long non-coding RNA from Meleagris gallopavo (turkey), 1698 nucleotides. RefSeq lists it as uncharacterized. NCBI's taxonomy places the organism in Eukaryota, Metazoa, Chordata, Aves, Galliformes, Phasianidae. The record is from RefSeq and is a predicted model, not a curated record.
ACUAAAAGCAAAAUUAUUUUGGAAUAAUUCAGAAACUCUUUGAACUUCCUGCAGUCCUUGUAGGAUAUUAGGCAGUGGAAACUGGGUAGUAGCUGUAUAACAGCAGCACGAUAUGUUUUAUCAUUAUUACAUUCUCCUUACUGUUCUGGAUAAAGUUCUACAGUCUGUGGAUCACUAUAUGAUCAUACUUUGUAUGAGCAUCAACCAGAUGCAACCAUGUCUUAUUCUAAUACUUACACAGCUUGAGGACAAGUAACUGAAAAAAGCAAUAAGAAGGUAUAAUUUCGAGCUGAUUAUUCAGAUUGCCCACUAAAGAAAAUCCAUUUUAUUCUAAACUCAAGGUUUGGACUAAAGGAUACAGGACUGAAGCUCAAACUACGAAAUGUUGAUGCAAGAAUGUGCAGAAUGGUUCCCUGUGCACAGCACAGCUGAUCCCUGGAAGGCUGGAGCUGAACCGGCUUGGAGCACACCAGGAUGGGGUGAUGCAAUGAAGUGAGCACUGCCUCCUGUCCUCAGCAGGACAAUUUGCCUUGCUCCUCUAGGGAAGAGAAAGCUUGCAGGGGAGUGUCUGCAGGUUUUCUGCUUCUAACACUUCUCUCACCUGGAAGUGGUAAGCAGCACAAAGCACUUAGUAAAAGGGUGGCUGUUUUGUGUGUAUUUCUCCCACUUAUACUUUCAGGGCACCUGAGUAUUUGCUAUGCUUAAAUUUAUUUAUUUAUUUUUAAAUGUAUCUUUGUGAAGUCUAUUAUUUAUUUACUGAACAGAAACAUUUAGCAGCGGGCAAAAACAGCAACAGACUUCAAGUAACCUGCUCACCAGUAAGGCAAGAUUCACAAUCUGUUCCUAGCAACCCGCAGUUAUGGUAAGUAUUGCAUUACAGCCCUGUAUGACAGCUGUGUAUAACUGGCAGUGUCUGCUGCAGGCACCAUUGGCAGCAUGGAAUGAGUCAGAGGAGCACACCGUAUACCCUGCAAACCCUUGUGCAAAAAUUCCAGCAUUACAUCUUCCUCUCCUGAGAAGAGAGAGUUUACUGGCUGAAGCUGUGCUGAAUUAUGGAAGAGAAAAUCAAGUGCUAUAAUUCUUUUGUAUUAGUGGCUACAAUGCCUUGUUCAAAGGAUGCUAGAGGAGGAAGUCUAAAGCAGAAAUCAUACUGAAAACGUGGGGAAAACCUGAUACUUCGUCUAGUAGGAUGUCCUGUGUUGUGACUAUGGAAGGCAAAAUCUUCCCCCUGUCUUGCAGUCCCUGUCUUCCCUGCUGCUACUGGAGCCACAGAGAAGGAAGGAAGAAAGGAAUAUAGUUUCACUGCCCCAGUGAAAAUGAGAGAGUUGGCAUUGCAUGAGUGCAUGAAAUAAUUUAACAGCAAACUCAGAUACAUGCCAGCUUCCCUGUGUAUGUAGCUCACCUGAAUUUAUUAUGAUUCGUUUUCUAGGAGUGGGUAAGGGAUAGAGAAUCAGUUGGCUCCAUUCUGGUCCUGACAGUGCCACUAGUUCACUGAGUGACCCUCAGAUUAUUACUUCAUCUCUCAGUGGCAGCAUCUUUCUUUUUUGACCAUGGUAAAUCUCCUCCCCACAGAGUCUCUUGCUUUGCAUAAGUCUUGGUAUAUAACGUCUAGAAGGAGAGUCAACCCUCAACAAGGGUAGAUAAUGGCAGGACAAGGGGAAAUGCUUUUGAGGGAGAGAAGAUUUAGGUUGAAUACUG